UGGGGAAUAUUGGACAAUGGGGGCAACCCUGAUCCAGCAAUGCCGCGUGAGUGAAGAAGGCCCUAGGGUUGUAAAACUCUUUCACUGAUGAAGAUGAUGACGGUAAUCAGAGAAGAAGCCCCGGCUAACUCCGUGCCAGCAGCCGCGGUAAUACGGAGGGGGCUAGCGUUGUUCGGAUUUACUGGGCGUAAAGCGCACGUAGGCGGCGUAUCUAGUCAGAGGUGAAAGCCCUGGGCUCAACCCGGGAAUUGCCUUUGAUACUGGUAUGCUUGAGUUCGGAAGAGGGUAGUGGAAUUCCAAGUGUAGAGGUGAAAUUCGUAGAUAUUUGGAAGAACACCGGUGGCGAAGGCGGCUACCUGGUCCGAGACUGACGCUGAGGUGCGAAAGCGUGGGGAGCGAACAGGAUUAGAUACCCCCGUAGUCC
RNAcentral lists this ribosomal RNA (424 nucleotides) under uncultured prokaryote. Its description in RNAcentral is "bacterial SSU rRNA". It matches the Rfam family "Bacterial small subunit ribosomal RNA", at positions 355 to 796 of the family's 1533-position model. The record is from RNAcentral.